This 218-nucleotide long non-coding RNA is filed under the name Mytilus galloprovincialis (Mediterranean mussel). Lineage: Eukaryota; Metazoa; Mollusca; Bivalvia; Mytilida; Mytilidae. The record is from RNAcentral.
GCCGCGAAAAUUCUACACUCAAAAAUGGUGCCUCGCACAAAAACCCCCAUGGCCAUUUUCAAAAGUUGGCAGGUAUGAAUGCCUAAAUAAUAAAAGAAAAAAAAAAAACAGUUGAAAAAUAAAAGAAUUCAAAUUUCAGAAUAUUUUUAAUUGGUAAAUUGAACUAAAGUGACAUUUAUACAGCAAAAAGAAAUAUAUAUAGUACACAUAUAAUCUAU